CUAUAUGGCUCAGAAAUUUGUUGGGCGAGUUGGAGCAACAACAGCUCGGUGCAACUGAGAUACGAGUUGACAAUAAAUCAGCGAUUGAGUUGGCAAAGAACCUAGUGAAUCAUGAGAGAAGCAAACACAUUGACAUUCGCUUUCAUUUUAUCCGAGAUCAUGUAAAGGAAGGAAGUGUGAAAUUAGUGCACGUGGCAAGUUGGGACCAAGUCGCGGAUAUCUUCACGAAACUGCUACCGAUGGUACUUUUCAACAACUAUAAGAAAAUAAUCGGCAUGAAGGAUGGCAGAAGCAUUUAAGUUUACGAGGGAGUUUUGUUGAAUAAACGUUAAAUGAAAGGUCAAGAGUUAUGUUUUUUUAAUGGGUUUAAAUUAGUAGUUUUUUUUAGGAGAAUGAAAGGUCAAGGGUCAUUGGUUUAUGGCUAUUAUUAGAUUUUAAUAUUUUUAGUUUUUGUUUUAAAGGGCAGACUAUAGUCUAUAAAUAGUUUGUAAGCAUUUGAUAUAUAUAAUGAACAAUUUUACAGCAAUUGCCCACACUAAUCCAAGUCCCAGUCAACAGACUUUCUGGCAACCACUAGUAUCAGGAACUAUUAAACUUAACUUUGACACUACAUUUCUUGCUUUUUCUAGAGGUUCUAUCUCAAACGUUAUAGCACGUGAUGAAAUGGGUCAAAUAAUGGGUGCUUCUACUUAACCUUAUGUCGCAGUGGCGGACGCUUUCGUUGUUGAAGCCAAAGCUUGUGAACAUGUAGUCUAUUUCGCGAUCGACAUGGGGUUUCGAAGGGUUCAGUUUGAAAGGGACUCAUUAAUCGUCAUCAAGAAGCUGGCGUCUUGUACAAUGGAUCAUUUGAUCCUGAGUCCAAUUAUCACUGGCAAUAAGCAAAGAUUGGGGUUUUUCAUAGAGGCUACCUUUUUACAUAUGAGGAGAGACACAAACGCAGCAGCUUAUGCUCUAGCCUGGGAAGGUCGACUUUUAUGGAGGAAUGCUACUGAUUGAGGAUGCGCCGGUGGUGGUGGUGGAACGGGCAACGACUGCGGACUAGUCAGCCUAGUUGUUACAGAUCUAGUUUGUUUUCUCUCUUGUGGGCUUCAGAACUCGCACUUCCGAUGCUACGCCCUUCUCUUACUCUCUCUUCGGUUUCUAAAUUACUACUUGUAGCUGGGUCGCUGGCCGACCAUUGGAGAGCUGCUUUCAAAUGAAUCCUUUAAUUUGUUUUUCUGGGGGGGGAGUCUUUUGCCUUUUGUUUUACUUUGGUUAAGGAUUUUUUGGUUUUUGUUUCUGUUGGAUUUUUACUUUUGUUGCUGGUUUUGGUUUGUUAGUAAUAAGAUGUUUGGGUGGAGCAACGUUUGGUUCCACAAGUUCCCCCUUUUCUUUGGUUAAAUGGAUGUCAAGUGUUUCCAUAAAAAAAUCAAUAUCUACCCCUUAAUUGGCCUACAAAAUGCGAAUUAGACAUUGGGUUUUGCUCUCGUAGUUACCUUGAGAAAUAAAAAAUUAAUAUCUUAUUAUUUUAAAUUAUUUAUUAUUUAGAAUAAGAUUAAUUCUAUUAUUAGGUGACAAAUACACAAAAAAAAGCAAUAUCUUAUUAUUUUAAAUUAUAUCUUAUUUAAAUCAAGAUUAAUUCUAUUAUUAGACGACAAAAGUACAAAAAAGAGGCAUACACAAAAAAUUGUAGUAUUCAAAGAGGUGUUACUAUAAAAAUGACACAUAUGAAUAAUUUAUUUUAUAAUCGAAAAUAACAUUAUUAUUAAUUUUUUACAAGUGAAUGAAAAGAGGGAAGGAGUUUACAAACACAAAGAUCGAAACAAAUCUCAUGCCAAUUAACUUAAAACCCAUACAACCUUCUCACUAAGUCAAUGGCAUGAUUGACAAAAUAACAUUAUUAUUUAAACAUUGAUAAUAACAUUAAUUUAUUUAUCUCGAUUUUAUAAAGACAAAAAAAUAAAAAAAGUAUGUAUCUACUAUAUAUCCAUCUUUAAAAUAUUGUAUAUAUAUACUUCUUAAUAUUGCACAAUUAAUUGUUUUUAAUAUUAUAUAUUAAUUUUUAAUAAUGAUUACCAAUGGUAAUUACAUGAAAUAAAAAUACUUUAUUAAAUAAUAAAAUUAUAUACACGUAUAUUAUAUAUACAUUGCCCGUGGUAUUGAAAACUGAUCUUCCAAAAAUAUAAAAACAUUUUAUAAAAAAAAGUUUGUACGUAAAAUAAUAAAGUAAAUGAAUAGACAGAACUGAAGUGAGGUUUGACUUCGGAUUGGUGGACGGAGAGGCCCAACCCAUUACACUCUUCUUUUAUGGACAUGGCUGAUGGGAAUGUAAGAGCUAACGACGUAACAGAACAAAAUGACUCCUCUUUUUCAAAAGGCUUAAACAAUAAAAUGGUACAUACACUAUACUGGUUUUUUCAAAUUAGUACUUAAAAUAUUUUUUUGUCAAAAUUGGUACCUAAACUAUUAAAUCGUUACCCAAUUUACCUCAACUGUUGGUUCCGCUAGAAAAAAACUUUCAGCCAAUCAUAACGUGCCAUGCAAACCUCUAUUUAUUUAACCCAUUUUCUUAUAUUAUCUUCUCAUCAAAAACUAGAUUUUCUUACAUUUUCUCAUCAACCAAACACCAAGAAAAAAUUAUUUGCUUCCUUGUACAAAGCUUCUACCAUUUUUUCAUUUUCAAGCUUCAACUGUUUCUACCAUCUUAAAGCUUUUAAUCUUCUUUUUUUCUUCAUCCAAUUCUUUCCUUAUACGAUGAUACGGAAAACCCACAAAUUUUAACUAUCUAAACCUCAGCAAGUUACUCAAGCCAUUCUAUAAAAUUUUUACCAUUAGAAAAAAUAAUAGUUAACAACAGUUUUGGGAUGUAAAUCAGAGUUAGCAGAACAUUGAUUUAUCGAGAAAGCCACUCAAAGAAUUUUUUUUGGGUUUUCAGUUGGGACCAGAGGCAGUGGUUCUACAAGAUGAUUCGCAAGAACUAAUUUUUUUGGGUUUUUUUUUUUAGCUUUGAAUUCCUACAACAGAUGUGGCUAAUUCAAACAAGGCUGGGUGUGCUACAAUGUUGAAAAGCCGAUUUGCAGACACCAUUAGCAGGGCACAGCAGAAGAUGUAGUGAAAUCUUGAAGAAUUUUUUGGGUUUUUUAUAUCAUUGUAUAAGGAAAGAAUUGGUUGAAGAAAGAAGAAGAGUGGAAGCUUAAAGAUGGUAGAAGCAGUGGAAGCUUGAAGAUGAUAAAAUGAUAGAGCUUUGUAAAAGGAAGCAAACGAUUGUUUUUAGUGUUUGGUUGAUGAGAAAUUGUAAGAAAAUCUGGUAAAAAUUGUUUAAUGGAAAGAAAAUAUAAGAAAAUGGGUGGUGUACAUGACAAGUUAGGAUACUAAUUUUUAUUUUCUAACGGGACUAAUAGUUGGGGUAAAAUGGGUAACGGUUUAAUAGUUUAAGUAUCAGUUCUGACAAAAAAAAAAGUUUUAAGUACCAAUUUAGGAAAACUAGUAUAGUUUUUUUUACCAUUUUGUCGUUUAAGCCUUUUCAAAAAUACAAAUUAACUAUCGUUAUUAAUCCUAAAACGUAAAAUCAUAAUAAUUUCUUUUGUCCUUCAACAUUAUAUAAAAAGUCAUUUUAAUCCUUUAAUUAUUUUUUUAAUCCUUAAACUUGCAUUAUUUAUUAAAUCACUUCAAAAUGGAUGGAAAAUUUAAUAUCUGUUAAUUUUGUUGACAUGGCAUCCACGAGACAGUCCGCAUUUAUGCCACAUUUAUGCCUGUUAGAAAUUAAUUAAUUUUUAAAAUUAAAUAUAUUAAAUAUAUAUACUUUUUAUACUUUUUUUAACAAUUUUUAUUUUUUUAAAAAUUAUAUAAUUUUUGAAUUUUUUAAAUUUUAAAAAAUUAAUUAAGCACCCACAUGACAUGUCACAUUAACAAAAUUAAUAAGCAUUAAUUUUUUUCAUUCAUUUUGAAGUGAUUUGACAAAUAACACAAUUUUAAAGGUUAAAAGAAGACGAAAAAUAAAAUAAAGAACUAAAAUAAUUAUUUUUGAUAAAGUUGAAAGGCCAAAUAAAUCAUUGUAUGUAAAUGACUAGUAGAAUGCACAUACACCUACACUUGAGAGUAAUUAAUUGAUUUAUUAUAAAAUAAUAUAAUUAAAAUAGGGAGAUUUUAUUAGUAUUUGGCUGUUAAAAUAUUCUUUUCUCAUAUAUUUUUUUUAUAUAUCUAGAAUUUAGUUUUACUUUUUAUUUUAAGGAAUUUAGUUUUUUUUUUACUUUUUGAAUUUAAAAAUUUCAAGUUCAAUUGAUAAUAUUGUUAUUUUUUUGUUAAAUUAAAAUUCAUUACAAUGAUAUAUUUUUUAUUAUAUAGUUACCAAUUGAAUUUUUUUUUCUUUUCAAAAGGUUAUAUUUGUGAAUUUACACAAGAAUUUUAAUGAUUUUAAUAAAGAUAGAAAUAUUAAAUUCUUAGAAAUAAAAGUAGAGAUACUUAUUUCAAAUAUACAAAGAGUAAGUAUAUUUAAAACAUAUUUUAAACCAUACUUUUAAUCAAUGAUGUGUUUCCUAAUACUAAGUCAAAGACAAACAGCAACCCAAGUCCUACGAUUCACUCUUCUUUCCUUUCACUUCUAUUUUUAUACCUAAACAAAUAUGCUACCAAAUAAUUUCACAAAAUAAAAGUGUGAGAUUAGAGUUCAAUUCAUAGGUUUGUUCAUGUGGUAUUAUAAUGUGUGUUAGUAGGUAAGUUUAAACUUAUAUUGUAUAAACAAAUGAAUUUAAAAAUAUAUUUGAAUUUUUUAUUUUUAAAUUAAAAGAUUUUACUAUCUAAAGUGAGAUAUAUAAUUUAAUAUUGAUUUUUUGGUAAUACAGUUAACUUAGGAGGGCUUGCUUUUCAGCAAUUUAUUCUAGGGUUUUUUCAAAGAUUCCAUCUAACAAGAAUUUUAUUUUAUUUAUUUUUACCAAUUCCUCAUUAGACCUGUCCAUGGGCUGGCCGGGCCCGGAAAAAAUUUUGGCCCGACUCUUAGGCCCGGGCCUGGCCCGGCCCGAAAUAUUGGCCUGAAAAUUUUGCCCAGGCCCGGCCCGGAAAAAAAUAAUAAGCCCGAGCCCAGCCCGGCCCAGUUUUUAAUAAACACAAAAAAAUAUUUUAAAAAUAAAAAAAUAAAAAUAAAAAAAAUAUUUUUAAAGUAUUUUAAAAUUAAAAGAUAAAAAUAAAAAAAUAUAUAUUUAUUAUAUUCGGGCCGGGCCAGGUCGGGCUCGAGCUAAAAAAGUUGAGCCCGAGCCCGGCCUAUUUUUUAAACGGGCCUCAUUUUUUGCCCAAGCCUAUAUUUCGGGCCUAUAUUUUUACCCGAACCCUCCCAUAUUUCGGGCGGGCCGUCGGGCCAGGCUGGGCCGCCCGGCCCAUGGACAGGUCUAUUCCUCAUAGAUUGUGAAAGAAUAUUAAAGAUAAUUUUCCUAGUAAAAAACUUUAGAUUAUUAAAUUUAUUAGGCUUUAAUGUCCAGGGGAACUGUUUUAUAUUUUAAAAAUUUAAUAUUAUAAUAUCAAUAUUGAUGGUUCGAGCUAUGAUGUCUCUACGUACCUCUAUUAUUAUUCACAAGUCUCGUAUUAACAUUUAUUUCGAGUUUUGCAGUCACUUAUCUUUAUUGAUCGAAGUAUUUCUCCAUCAACUGUACAUGGCUUUCUGUAGAGGCUAGAGAUAAAAUCUCGAUAUAAGGACAAUACUUUCAAUUGUUGAGGUCGAAGUCUACUUCCCAGAAGAUGAAACUUCUCCUAAAAGAAUCGAUUCCUUGUCAACAAUAAUUUAAGAUAUUAAUGGUAUUUUAAUUUUUUUUUUCUGUUUUUAAAGAAUAUAAUAUGUUAAAUUAGUGGGAUUUAAGUAAGGAAGAAUACUAAAUUUAAAAUAUAUUUCAAAUGUUGAUUGUACAUUUUUAAUAUAUGAUGAAUAAAAAAAAUCAUAUAUAAAAAUAUUUUAAUUAAUGAUUUAUAUAUUAAAUUAAAAAAGUAAUAAAAUGGUGGAAUGUUAAUAAAAAUAAAUUAUAUUGAUUAAUUAGUGCAGUUUUAGAUUAAAAAGAAAAUGAGGGCUGUCCACGUCAUGGAAAAAGCCAAUGGCACAUUAGAAGAGCCACCUGUACAUUAUUAUUAUUAUUAUUAUUAUUAUUAUUAUUAACCAAAUUCUGUAGUUAAGUUAACCAGAAGAGGCGGUGAAUUGUUAACCCAAGUUUCAUAGUUGAGUGUCCUAUCAUCCUCUGCUUAUCUCCCUACUGUAUUAUUUUCACUCUUUACCUUCUUCCCUUCCCUUAUAUAAUUCCCUCUCUCUAAAUUAAAAGUUGCAUAUCUUUUAAAUUAUACGCUGGCUUCUCAUUUUCUCUCUUUCCUCACUUCCUUACUUUGAUUACCCUUUUUAUAUAUCACAAAAAUUUUGCAGUCUUUCUUUCAGACGCAAGCAGCAGGCACCUGUCCUAGAAACAGAGAUCUUCUCAAGUUAGUUAACUAACGGUUUUUGCUAUCCCCAUUUUGCCCUUUCAUUCUUCUUCUUCUCCUUCAUCGGAAGAUGAUUAGUUGGAACGAUCUUUACACCGUUUUAACGGCGGUGAUCCCACUGUACGUUGCUAUGAUCUUGGCUUACGGCUCCGUCCGUUGGUGGAAAAUAUUCACCCCCGACCAGUGCUCGGGUAUCAACCGCUUUGUCGCCAUAUUUGCCGUUCCUCUCUUGUCUUUCCACUUCAUUUCCACCAAUGACCCUUAUGCCAUGAACUUCAGGUUCAUAGCAGCCGACACCCUUCAAAAGCUCAUCAUGCUCUUCGCUCUUGGAUUGUGGACUAAUUUAACAAGGAACGGAAGCCUAGAAUGGAUGAUCACCAUUUUCUCUUUAUCUACUCUCCCCAACACUCUAGUCAUGGGCAUUCCUCUUUUAAUCGCUAUGUACGGUCCCUACUCCGGGAUGCUCAUGGUCCAAGUCGUGGUUCUCCAGUGUAUCAUUUGGUACACCCUUCUUCUUUUCCUUUUUGAGUACCGCGGUGCCAAAAUCCUCAUCAUGGAGCAGUUUCCCGAAACUGCAGCUUCCAUUGUUUCUUUCAAAGUUGAUUCCGAUGUGGUUUCACUUGACGGCCGCGACUUCCUCGAAACCGACGCUGAAAUCGGGGAAGACGGCAAGCUACACGUUAAGGUCAGGAAAUCUAAUGCUUCCAGGAGGUCUUUGGGGCCUUGUUCCCUUCCUGCAUUGACUCCCAGGCCUUCCAACCUCACCGGAGCUGAAAUCUACAGUUUGAGCUCUUCAAGGAACCCCACGCCAAGAGGUUCCAAUUUCAACAACUCCGACUUUUACUCCAUGAUGGGUGUUCAAGGGUUUCCUGCAAGACACUCCAAUUUCGGUCCAGCUGAUUUAUACUCUGUUCAAUCCUCUAGAGGACCUACUCCAAGGCCAUCCAAUUUUGAAGAAAACAAUACAGUAAUGUCUCCACGGUUCGGAUUUUAUCCAGCACAGACUGUUCCUUCAUCCUACCCUGCUCCAAACCCUGAAUUCUCAUCCGUCACGAAGAACGCUAAAGCUACCCAACAACAACAGCAGCAGCCAGUUCAACCACAGCAGCAGCCUAAGGAGAAGGAGAAUAAUAAAGAGAAUCAUGAUGCCAAGGAAUUGCACAUGUUUGUGUGGAGUUCAAGUGCUUCGCCGGUUUCAGAAGGCGGAGGUCUCCAUGUCUUUGGUGGUACAGAUUUCGGAGUGUCCGAGCAAUCUGGACGGUCUGAGCAGGGUGCUAAAGAGAUAAGGAUGUUGGUCGCAGAUCACCCUCAAAACGGGGAAAACAAAGGUACAAUAAAUUUAUUAGUAAACUAGAUUAUUCUGCUCGGUUAGGAGUUACUGGAAUUUUUUAAUAAUAGAUUGUAGCUUGUGAAGGCAUGGCAGGCAGUGGUGACGUUAAUGGAGAGGACUUUAGCUUUGCUGGAAGAGAUGGGGAAGAGGAGAGAGAAAAGGAAGGACCCAAUGGUCUCAAUAAGUUGGGGUCUAGUUCAACGGCCGAGUUGCACCCUAAAGCCGCCGGAGGGCCGGAGUCUGGCGUAGGCAAACAAAUGCCGCCGGCGAGUGUAAUGACCCGCUUAAUCUUGAUCAUGGUCUGGCGCAAGCUUAUACGAAACCCCAACACAUAUUCCAGUCUCAUCGGGCUUGUUUGGUCCCUAAUUGCUUUCAGGUCAGCUCAUUAUUUGAUUUUAAGGUUCAAACAUUAUUCAACAAGUCCUUUUUUUUUUUUUUUUACUUUUUAAUUGGGUUGUUUCAUAUGUAAUGAAUUUACUGGUUUGGGGGGACUUUAAUUAAUGCAGGUGGCAUGUGAGUAUGCCGAAAAUAAUAGAGAAGUCUAUCUCCAUCCUGUCAGAUGCUGGACUAGGAAUGGCCAUGUUUAGCUUAGGUGAGCAUUUCUGUUAUUUGCUUUAUCUUCAACUAAUAAUAUUUGGAAAGAAAGAGAAAGGAAAGUUUAUCUGCCUUGACCUAAAUAAAAUUUCCUAGACCAACUCGGCACCACUAUUUGGUGCACUUAACACUAUGUUUAACUAUUUAUGAUACUUUCGCCGAAUUCAGGCAACCCCAUGGGAACAAAAAUCCAUCUAAUGGGAUACCAUGGACCAUUUAAAAAAAAAAAAAAUUAGUUUGACAUUGAAAGAAAUCUUUGGACACUUAAAUGGGAUUUAACCUCCCGACAUGUGGGGUCUUGUUUGCGAUGUUAGUAAGCGGUCCAGGGUCGGUGGGCAUUGGUUGUGAUAGACGCCAAUUAGGCCACCAGUUAGUGAAGGUAGGUGAUUGAUAGAUUAGGGACACUUAUGGUUUCCUAUGGAAAGUCGUAACUUUUGGUGCUAUAUGGUGAAAAAGGUCUGUUUAUGGCACUGCAACCCAAGAUCAUCGCUUGUGGGAACUCUGUAGCUACAUUUGCCAUGGCCGUUAGGUUCUUAACCGGUCCGGCUGUCAUGGCUGCCGCUUCGAUUGCAGUAGGGUUGCGCGGCACACUCCUCCGUGUCGCCAUUGUUCAGGUAAAGAAAAAUCCUUACCCUCCUCGUAAGCUUUGACUUUUAACGAUUUUUUGUCAGAGAAAUUUUUGUUUCAAAUUGAACAGGCGGCUCUGCCACAAGGAAUUGUACCAUUUGUGUUCGCCAAGGAAUACAAUGUCCACCCUGCAAUUCUUAGCACUGCGUAAGUAAACAAACUUGGAUAUAUUCAAACAUAGUAUAUAUAGCUGUUAACUACUAUAUAUAUAUAUAUAUAUAUAGCUGACGGCUUGAUUUGUAAAUAUUUUUCAGGGUUAUCUUUGGGAUGUUGAUAGCAUUACCGAUAACGCUGGUGUACUACAUUCUUCUAGGAUUGUGAGGGUACUUUCAUAGUAAGCCAGAGAUAUGAAUGGGAGUUUUCCAGGGCUUGAUAGAAUUGAUCAAAACCGGAUUAUGUUGUUAAUUAACAUGAGGAUAUUCCGGGAAAGAAGAUUUUAGUACAAGAAAAAGAAAUUGUCACAAGGGUUCCAAAACCAUUGGAGCUAACCUAGCUAAAGAUAUUUGACUUAGUAAUGUGUCCUCCCUGAUUUAAGGGAUCAUGCCCCCAUGAGAAGCCAAGUUUAUCCAAUUUCCUAGAGUAAUUUUGAGGAGAAGAAAAGAAGGCCAAUCCUGCAUAAGGGAGACAAUGAAGAGGAAAAUGGGGGCAAACAAAGCUGGUCACUUCAUAUCUAAUUAAUUCACUUUUAAUCUCCCUUAUGCUUUUAUUGUAAAGUUCGAUUUCAUUCUAAUGAAAGCUGCCGAGGGUUUUCCUUUUUUUUUUCUCCUUUCUUUUUCAAAUGCUACUGGUGCUUUUACAUUUUUUUAAUACAAGAAUGUAAUCUGAUUUGUUGGCUUUGAUUGGCAAUUAUUGGCGUAAAUCAUCUGGGUUAUUUUUUCUCUGUCUUACUUAGGAGAUUUAUUAAUGAUUUUAAAUAAUAAUAAUAAGAAGAAAAAGGUGUACUUUUAUUGCUCAUUUGGUAAUUCAGGUUUAACUAGGUGGGCAGGAAACAUGUGGUAAUGUCCUCGUGUGCGUGGCCUGAUUCAACAGCAAACAAUGGGGCCAUAGGUUAUCGAGGGUCAUCAAGAAUUAAACAAGCAAAAUACCCAAAACAAUUUGACUCCACCCUUCCCCCAAUAAUUCACCCAAAAUUUAUCCAGGUGACAGUAUUUGGUAUAAAUGUGAAAUAGCCACCUCCUGUUUUCCGAUACGAUUAUAACAUACAUUCAUAUAUUUGACAUUGAUGAAUUAAAUUAUAGAGAAGUGGGGAUAGUAGGAGCAGCGAGCAAUUAAGACAUGGCUCCGACGGGAAUGAAUACAAGCCAACAAAGACUAAUCAAGAUAUUUGAGAGGGAGAGGGUGAUGGUCGAUGUCUGCUGAACCACGGACAUGAGCCAGGUGAGAUGGGCCCAAGCCCAACCGAGGGACCAGGGACCAUUUGAGCGAUUAAUUAUACUUUUGAUUUUGAAAAAGACAUUGCCCAUGGGGGACCAUGGGGGAAUAAAUAAAUAAAAGGUUGUUUUUAUUUUGGGUUAAAUACCAAUUCCCCUUCAACUAUACCUCAUCAAACAAUGUGGUACUUACGAAUUUUUUACUAUCAAUUUGGUACCUAUAGUAUUUCACUGGAAAACAAAUCACCCCAUUCCGUUAUAGAAUGAUGAUGUAGCAUCAGUAACCACUCACACAACAUGACACUUAAUAUUUUAUAAAAAUGAAAUAAAUAUAAAAUUUCUAUUAAAAUUUAUAUAAUAUCGCAAUUAUUUUUUAAAUUUGAUCUUUUUCUUUCUUCUCCAUCGUCAAAGAUAUCUUCUCAUUAUUCUCCAUCAUCACACAACAACACCACUAAAAUUCUUUGGCAAAAUCUUACUUGCUUUUUGGAACACAUUUUUACAAAAAAAAAAAAAAAAAAGUAAAAAUCUUACCAAAGUUUCAUCGUUAAAGAGCAGCACCAGAAUUCAAAAUUCUUACCUAGGUUCCAUCGUCAAAGAGAAUCUCUUCCAUUUUUUUAAAUUCCCUACUUGGGUUACGAUAAAAUUUCAUUUUUUUCUUUAAAUAGGUAUUGAAUUUCUAGAAUUUCUCUAGGUCUGCUAUUGCUUUUUUUUUUGUUAGCUUUGAUGUGCCAAAAUUUUAAUAUGAAUAAAUUUUAUAAAUUAUAUUUCCUACAUCAUUUAGUGAAAAUAUAGUUAAAAAUUUUAUCAAGUAAUUUUAAGGAGUUACAAAGUACUAAAAAAUUUACUUCAAAUACGUUUUUAACUUUUUUUUAAUGUUUUUGAGACUACCAAUGUUUUCCUUUGAGUAUUUAAAAUUGAUUUUAUGCAAGUUUGGAAGUAGGUUCUAUUCAUAUCCAAAUGUUUCGAAACACAGCAAUUCAAUGAGAUUUUUUAGGCGACCAUGCUUUUUAGAACCUAUAAGUAGAGGUAUCAAAUCCCAACCAAGAGGUAUCGAAACAUAUCUCUAGGUUUCAAUGCAUAAGAGUCCAACAACCAUAAUUUUAAAUCAAGUAAUUGACACAAAAUUUAGGUAUCGAAACAUGCUAUUCUGUAACUGCCAAUUAAUAUUUUAAAUCGCUCCAUAUUAUCCCCAACAAUUAUAAACGAUAGCAAAUCAUUUCCUAGAUAUAAAUACCUAUCAAUAACAUUUCAAGUAAAAAAGAAACCAAUAUACAAGCAUCAAAAUCAAGAGAAAAAUUUCUAGGUAAGACAUUGCCUUGAAUACAAGCAACUCUGUUAUGUUUUAAGUAGUUUUUCCAAAUUAGUUUUAAUUUAAUAAAAAGUGUAAUUUGAUUCGUUUUAUGACCUUAGGGGCUAAAUGAGGGCUAAAGGAGGGCUAACGUACUUAGUGAGUGUGCAUGACACCAUUCAAAGGCAUAAGAGCUCAAGGCUAAUCACCAUGUUGCAACACGGGAGUCCAACGUCGCAACGUAGGGAGUAGAAUACAAGAAUUCCAAGGCUACAUUUGGUGUUGCGACACACACCUGAAGUUGAACUUGAGCCAAGCAAACUGCCUUUCGAUGUCGCGACAUAGGAACUAGAUGACACAACACCGGCCUUACAUCGAAAAGAAUUAUGAGAUAAGGGCAUUUUGGUUCACACAAUAUGUUUUUACAUAAAAAUGUCAACCGACCUAGGGCUAAGGACGACAACCAACCCUAACUCUAUAAAUAGACUCUUUAGACACUUGUUUAGGGAUGAUUUUUAUAGUUUACAAUUUUCAUUGUAAUUUAGUUUUCAGUUUCUUUUAGGAUUUAGAUUUAUUUUUAGUUGUUUUGUUCGUGUCCAACGUAGAAUCUGAUUUGUGGAUUUGUCCAAACUCUCUUUGGAUUCUUUUAAACAUUAUUCUUGAUUUAUUCUUUAUAUUUAUUUUAUUUAUCAAGUUUACAAUGUUUAUGGAUUCCAUGAGGAACUAAUCCUCUUAUGGGGGGAUUAGUAAAUGGAAGUGUGAUUAAUUAAUUGCUAUGUAGGGUUUUCUUAGUGGAUUAGCUAUUUGGGGAUAUGAAGAACUAAAAAUCUAGGCCUGACAACCUUAGAAAGUCAUCUAGGUAGGAAUUAACCCAAAAUUUUUAUUGCCUAUCCGUGAACCCCUUACCUCAAAUCGGUCUGGACUGUGAGGUCGAGAGAUAAGUAAUUCUUACCGACCCGUUAGUUUAGUGGAAGAUCGAGAGAUAUUGCUACGAUAACGACUAGUUGAUUGAGUAGAAACCUGAAAUAGGAACUAGUUAUGAUCAUCGAAGUGACCUAAUCUCCCAUGCUUAGAAUUGGUUGAGUUUAAAGAUUAGGAUUUCUUUUGUCACUAUUUUCUACAUGUUAUUUCUUUCCUUAAAUUUAUAGAUAAUUUUUAUUUUAUUUUAUGCUCAUCGUAAUAUAAUUUAUUUCAAGUACUAAUUAGAUCUAUUUUCGUUUAGGUUAAUAUUAAUUUAGUACUUGCCUUCCUUUGGUACGAUCCUCGAAGUACUCACCUACUUCGUUGUAACUAUAUUACAACCUGACCCAUAUAUGUGCGAACAUCGCCUCAAUAUUAUAUCUUUAGUUGCAAUAAUCACACUUUGGAUGUUAAUACAUCCAGAGGCGGUCAAUAACAGAUAUACACGCAAGUACAGUUCACACUUGACAAACUUACAUCCGAACAUAGUUCACCAAAAACACAACUAACUUGUUGAGAUGGCGAACAAUAGAGGGAUGAUUCAAGGCGUAAUCCUGCAAAAGAUACAGUUGAACCAAGGUGGUAUUUUUCCUAGUCCUUCCCCAUUCAAACAAUGACACAAACAUGCAUAGCACUUCUAAUUCUUGGUGAACUUACCUUACCUGCUCUGGCGAGCUGACCUUGCUAAAUUUGCUAGACACUCCUUGCCAUUCUAGCAAACUCACCUAUUAUGUAAAUGGCCUGGCAAACUAAUCCUGGUUAGCUCUAGCUUGGUGGACUCUAGCCUUGCGAGCCCUAACUUGGCUAGCUCUUAUACCCAACCAAUGUAAUACCAAAAAUCAAGUCGAGUAGGUUCGACCCGAAUCUGGCGAGCUACAUUAUCCACUUAAGUGACUCUCUGUUAACUCCCAACCUAACCUCUAAUACACCACUUACUUACAACAAAUAAUGUGUUAAGGUACAACACAAUAGCGGGAUACAAUGAAACAUAUAAAGUAAAACAUGUGAGUUAUUUUGAAGGUUCGCACAACAACUAAGGUUCGCAUAUGAUACGCAACAUAUGUUCGCCUAAUAGAAUAUCUUAUCAGUUCGUAGUAUCGCAUAAAAUCAUGAGUUCGCAUGUUGGUUCACAUAUUAGUGUAACAAACACAUUAUUCACAUAAAAACACGAGUCAUGUGCUCGCUUAAUAAUAUAGGUUCGCAAGGUAACUACAAUUCACAUAUUUCCUAGGUUCGCACCAGUAAUACUAAGUUUGCAUGCAAUACAGACUUCGCAAACAGAAAAGUCAUUCACAAAAAGUUCAUUCAUGCAAGGGUUCGCAAAAACUAUUACUUUGCAAUAAAACUGGCAUGCAUGUGAUAUUUAAUACAUACUAUGACAAAGUUGAAAGAAAAUCACAUGGUACGCAUGCAAUGAGAAAUAAAUAAAGAACAUAAAUAUAAAUCCCAACGCCUAUUUCCCAAGUUUGCUAAUAUCUAUUCAGGGGUGAUAUAACACCCCUUACACGAGACUGUUGCCGGAGUCGAGCACGAGGCGUUACUUGACUUAACUUACUAGUUUGAGGUAUAAAAAUUUGCUUUUAAAAUUAAUUUCACUAUUUACAACAAAGCUGUCCAAUCGCAUAGCAGUUACUAAAUUAAUUAUAACUCGAGCUAUGAAACUUGAAAUUUAGAUCUGUAAAUUUUCCCUGAAACUAGACUCAUAUAUCUUCUUAUCAUAAAGUUUUUAGAAUUUUUGGUUUAGCCAAUUAGUACAGUUUAUUAGUUAAAGUCUUCCCCAUUUUAGUAUUCAGCUGUCCUGACCUCUCAUCACUAAAAUUCAAUUUUCUCAUUGUAUGAUUUUAAUAUGGUGUUCUCACUUAUUUCUACAAAAAAUAGACUAAUUAAAAAAUCUAGACAUAUAAAUUACAACUCAUAAAUAUUUUUGUACAAUUUUUAAUUAUUUUCUAAAGUCAGAACAGAGGACUCCAAAAACAGUUCUGACCAUAUCUAACUAAAAUCCACUUAUCUCAGAAUAUAAAAUUCCUUUUUCUACACCGUUAUUUUUAGAUGAAAAUAGAAUCAAUAAGCUUUAAUUCUAUAUAUCAUUCACCCUCUAAAUCAUUUUAUACUAUCCUUGGUGAUUUUUCAAAGUCACGUCACUGUUGCUGUCUGAAAUCGAUUUCAUUGCAAUUUUUUACUCUUUCACAAUUUCUAGGUAUAAACUAUCACUUAGGCAUUCAUAAUAUCAAACAUAUUCUUACUUAGCCAUUUUAAUAGCUAAACAUUAUCACAUAUUUACACAUCAUCCUUUAGCAUUAUCAUAAGGACAUACAUUCAAAAUGACUAAGUCCCUAUACAUGCCAUAGUUCAACAUUGAUCAUCAUAAUCUCAAUGAUGCCAAUGCCAUGUCCCAGACAUGGUCUUACAUUUGACCUCUUUACCCAAAUGUCAUGACAUUUGUAUCCAAUACACUCUUAAUGUUUCAAUGGGGCUUUUAUCACUGAUUCUCUGUCAUCUCAUACUUAAGUUAAUAUUAAAUAAUUUCACGAAAUAAAUACAUAAUUGCUGGAAAAUAACAACAUUAAUAAUAAUUAUUGAAAUAUUGUAUUUAUUUACUGUAAACUUACCUCGGUACAAAAUUUGACCAAAUCUAGCAACUUAGUCCUCUAUCUUUUUCUUUCCCCGGUCUAACUCCGAAUUUCGUUCUUCUUGAUCUAUAAUAGAAAACUUAACUUAUUUAAUACUCAAAUUCAUCAAAACAAUCCUUGACUCAAACUUUGGAAAAAUUACAAUUUUGCCCCUAAACUUUUGCAUAAUUACACUUUUUCCCCAAAGCUCGGAAAUUAAACUUCAUCCCAUAUUCUUAUGUUUUAUGACAUGCUGGACAUUUUCCCUUCUAUGGAAACAUCAAAUUCCCACUCUAACAUGUACUUAUGAACAUUAGGUAUUUUUACCGAUUAUGUUGUUUUACUCGUUUUCACUUAAAAUUGCUUAGCAAAAGUUGUUUAACAUAAUUUCAAGCUUCAUAUUCUACCAUAAAACAUCAAAAUAAACACAUUGCACCUAUGGGUAUUUUUCCAAAUAUAAACCCUAGGUUAAAUUAUUGCUAGAAUAAGCUAAAUCAAGUUACUGGGACUCCGAAAAUGUAAAGAACAUUAAAAACGGGGCUUGGAAUCACUUAUUAUGGAGCUUGGAAGCUUGAAAACCCUAACUAUGGCUUCCCCCUUGCUAUUUUUUUUCACCAUGGAGAAGAUGAGCACAUUUUGCCUAUCUUUUCCCUUUUUAAUUCUUUUUAUUACUAAAUUACCAAAUUGCCCCUAACUUAAAAUUUUCCUAUUUCACUUAUCUCAUGUCCAUUUUUGUCUACCAACUUAACCAAUGGUCUAAUUACCAUAUAAGGACCUCCAAUUUAAAUUUUCAUAACAAUUGGACACCUCUAACAUGUAGAACUCAACUUUUGCACUUUUUAUAAUUUAGUCCUUUUGACUAAAUUGAGUGCCCAAACGUCAAAAUUUUUGAACGAAAUUUUCACGAAAUCAUACCAUGAAAUUGUAGGUCAUAAAAAUAUAGUAAAAAUAAAUUUUUCCUCAUCGGAUUUGUGGUCCCGAAACCACUGUUCCGACUAGGCCCAAAAUCAGGAUGUUACAUUUCUCCCCCCUUUUUUGGGAUUUUCGUCCCCGAAAAUCUUACCUGUGAAGAGAUUUGGGUACUGUUUUCGCAUAGCCUCUUCGGGCUCCCAUGUAACCUCACCAACCCCAUGCCUAUUUCAUAACACUUUCACAAGUGCAAUACUCUUGUUCCUUAGUUGCUUAAUCUCUCUAUCUAGAAUUUUUACCGGUUCUUCAACAUAAGUCAAGUCUGGCUAAAUUUCAACCUCUGUCGGUGAGAUCACAUGUGAGGGAUCAGAACGGUAACGACAUAACAUUGACACAUGGAAUACAUUAUGAAUCUUCUCUAACUCAGUUGGCAAAGCUAACCGAUAUGCUAACGGCCCAAUUCUUUCAGUCACCUCGAACGAUCCAAUGAAACGUGGACUUAGUUUGCCUUUCUUGCCAAAUCUGAAAAUUUUCUUCCACAAGGAUACUUUCAAAAACACUUUGUCACCAACUUGAUACUCGAUCUCUUUUCUUUUUAAAUCUGUAUAAGACUUCUGUCUAUCUGAAGCUGCUUUUAAACAAUCUCUGAUAACUUUUACUUUCUCUUCCGUUUCUUUGAUUAAAUCAACCCCGUAAAUCUGAUUUUCCUUAAGCUCUUUCCAAUAGAAAGGAGUAUGACACUUACAUCCAUACAAAGCUUCAUAAGGAGCCAUCUUCAAACUCGACUGAUAAUUAUUAUUAUAGGCAAACUCUACCAACGGCAAAUAUUUCUCCCAACUACCUUGAAAUUCUAAAACACAACAUCUGAGCUUCAAGUAGCUGAAUAAAUUUUUCUGACUGACCAUCGGUCUGAGGAUGGAAAGCUGUACUGAAGUUCAACUUUAUACCCAAAGCUUCCUGCAAUUUUCUCCAAAAUCGAAAAGUAAAUCUCAGAUCUCUGUCUGAGAUAAUCGAUAACGGUACCCCAUGUAGUCUGACUAUCUCUGAAACAUACAAUUCAACCAACUUGUCAAGUGAAUAAUCCAUACGAAUCGGGAUAAAAUGAGCUGACUUCGUUAACUUAUCAAUCACAACCCAUACUGCAUCUUUCUUUUUCGGUGUCAAUGGCAACCCUGCUACAAAAUCCAUGGUAAGUCGAUCCUAUUUCCACUCAGGAUCUAACACAGGCUGCAAUAAACCUGAAGGCACCUGGGCCUUUACCUGUUGACAGAUCAAGCAUUUAGAAACAAAUUCUGAAAUAUCUCUUUUCAUUCCUGCCCACCAGUACAUUUUCUUAAAUCGUGAUACAUCUUUGUACUACUUGGAUGAAUAGACAAAGAACUGCUAUGUGCUUCCUGUAAGAUCUUCCAAAUAAGCUCAUCAUUCUUUGGUACACAUACUCUGUCUCUGAACAUCAAACAACCAUCAGAACCAAUCUGAAAAUCAGACUCUACACUCGACUCGCAUUGAGCUCUUUUAGCUUGCAACUGACUGUUAUUUUUCUGAGCUUCAUAGAUUUCUUCGAGAAACAUCGGUUUAGCCAUCAACUCAGCUAAAAUGGAACCAUCAUCAGAUAAAGCCAAACUGGUAUUCAAAGCUCUCAAUGCAAAUAAAGAUUUUCUACUCAAGGCAUCAGAAACAACAUUUGCCUUACCCGGGUGGUAAUCGAUCACUAACUCAUAAUCUUUAAUCAACUCUAGCCAUCUUCUUUGCCUCAAGUUCAAAUCUUUCCGAGUCAUCAAGUACUUCAAGCUUUUAUGGUCAGUAAAUAUUCGGCACUUUUCACCGUACAAGUAAUGUCUCCAGAUCUUCAACGCAAAUACAAUAGCAGCCAACUCUAAGUCGUGCGUCGGAUAGUUUGUCUCAUGUGGCUUUAACUGUCUGGAAGCAUAUGCGAUGACUUUAUCUUCUUGCAUAAGUACACAACCUAAUCCGUUCAAGGAUGCAUCACUGUAAAUUACAAAUUCUUUACCCGGUUCUGGUUGUACUAAAACAAGAGCUUCAGUCAAUAAUGCCUCUAACUUGUCAAAACUCUGCUGCCACUUUUCAGUCCAUUCAAACUUGACAUUUUUCUGUAACAACCUAGUCAAUGGGGUAGCUAUCAUGGAAAAUCCCUUUACAAAUCGUCUGUAAUAACCAGCUAAUCCAAGAAAGCUUAUAACCUCUGAUACAGUUCUAGGAGGCUUCCAAUUAACAAUUGCUGAAAUUUUACUUGGAUCAACUUUAAUACCAUCACCUGAGACAAUGUGUCCAAGGAAUCCAACUUCCCGAAGCCAGAACUCACUUUUACUAAACUUGGCAAAAAGCUUAUUAUCUCUCAAAAUCUGUAGAACGGUUCUCAAAUGCUCGGCAUGUUCAAUCUCAUCACGAGAAUAAAUUAGAAUAUCAUCAAUGAACACAACUACAAAUUUAUCCAAGUAAGGUCUGAAAAUUCGGUUCAUUAAGUCCAUGAAAAUAGCAGGAGCAUUAGUCAAACCAAAUGGCAUCACAAGAAACUCAUAGUGACCAUACCUAGUCCGGAAAGCAGUCUUCGAAACAUCUGACUCUUUAACCCUCAACUGAUAAUAACCAGAUCUCAAAUCUAUCUUGGAAAACAUAGUAGCUCCCUCCAAUUGGUCAAACACAUCAUCAAUUCUAGGCAGUGGAUAUUUGUUCUUUAUAGUUACCUUGUUAAGCUGCAGAUAAUCUAUGUAUAAUCUCAUUGAACCGUCUUUCUUUUUCACAAAAAGCACUGGUGCACCCCACGGAGAACAACUAGGUCUCGCAAAACCUUUAUCAGUUAAUUCCUGCAACUGAGCUUUCAAUUCUUUCAAUUCCAACGGGGCCAUUCUAUAAGGAGCUAUAGAAAUAGGAGUUGUACCUAGAAUCAACUCAAUACCAAAUUUAACUUCUCUAAUAGGGGGCAAACCUGGAAAUUCUUCCGGAAACACAUCUAAAUAUUCACAUACCACUGGCACUGAUUCAAUUUUGAACUCUGGAUCUCUAGUGUUCAAUACAAAAGCAAGAUAAGCUUCAUACCCUUUUCUCAAACAUUUCUGAGCAGACAUAACAGAAAUCAUGACAAGAGAACUAUCUGACUCAUCUGCCUUACAGGCUCUCUCAACUAGAAUAACAAACUCUUUUAUCUUUAGAACACCAAUUGACAGUCGGAUAUCAUCAUUGAGCCCAUCCACAAAUCUUUUACACAUAAUAUCUUCUGUAGAUACACACUCUCGAGCAUACUUGCUGAGUCUGACAAAUUUACGUUCAUACUCAGUAACAGUCAUCUUACCCUGCUUUAACUCAAGGAACUCUUUUCUUUUCUGGCCAAUAAACCUCUGAUUGAUAUAAUUUUUACGGAACUCCUCCUGAAAGAAAUCCCAAGUAACUCUCUCACUCAGUACAACUGACACAAGGGUCUUCCACCAAUGAUAGGUCGAAUCUAUAAGGAGUGAGACAACACACUUCAACAUUUCUCAAGUGUACAAGAUAACUCAUCAAAUACUCUGAUAGUAUUCUCAUGCCAAAAUUCUGCUCUCUCUGCAUCUCAUCUUUAGUAGCCCGAAACUCUUCAGCGUCUUGUUUUCUGAUCUUAUCAACUGGUGGCCUUUCUCUUAUAACUGUACCUGUACCUGUAACUGGGGGAGCUACAUGGGGAAUCUGAAAAUCAUGAGGGGGUGGAGGUCUAACAGCUGGAUUUGUAUGAACGAACUCGGCAAACUAUUCAUUCAUAGCUUGGAAGAAGGCUUUUUGAGCCCUUACUCCCUGACUAACUAUAACAGGCCUUUCACUACCAUCUGGUGGCACCGUCCCUUCUGCGAGAGCGGGAGCAUUACUUUCAACAUCAUCUGUACCAGCUCUUUCGGGAUCCAUACCUAUAAAGUAAAAACAUUUUAAAAUCAUCAGGAGUCGUCACACUAUCAAAAUACAAGUAUGGCAUGUAUAGCUAGACUCUUAUUCAUACUGAAUAUUCUGAGAAACCGGCUAAACCUGUUCUGAUACCAAAAAGUGCAACACCCCUUACCCGAGACCGUUAUCGGAGUCGAGCACGAGGCGUUACUUGACUUAACUUACUAGUUUGAGGCAUAAAAGUUUGCUUUUAAAAUUAAUUUCACUAUUUACAACAAAGCUAUCCAAUCCCGUAGCAGUUACUAAAUUAAUUAUAACUAGAGCUACAAAACUAUAAAUUUAGAUCCAGAAAUUUUCUCUAAAACUAGACUCAUAUAUCUUCUUACCAUAAAUUUUUUAGAAUUUUUGGUUUAGCCAAUUAGUACAUUUUAUUAGUUAAAGUCUUCCCUGUUUCACUAUUCGACUGUCCUAACCUCUCAUCACCAAAAUUCAAUUUUCUCAUUGUAUGAUUUUAAUAUGGUGUUCUCACUUGUUUAUAAAGAAAAUAUACUAAUUAAGAAAUCUAGACAUAUAAAUUAAAACUCAUAACUAUUUUGUUACAAUUUUUGAUGAUUUUCUAAAGUCAGAAUAGGGGACUCCAAAAACAGUUCUGACCAUAUCUAACUAAAAUCCACAUAUCUCAGAAUAUAAAAUUCCUUUUUCUACGCCGUUAUUUUUCUAUGAACAUAGACUCAAUAAGUUUUAAUUAUAUAUUUCAUUCACCAUCUAAUUCAUUUUAUACCAUCCUUGGUGAUUUUUCAAAGUCAUGUCACUGUUGCAAUCUGAAAUCUGUUUCAUUGCAAAUUUUUACUCUUUCACAAUUUCUAGGUAUAAACUAUCACUUAGGCAUUCAUAGUACCAAACAUAUUCUUACUUAGCUGUUUUAAUAGCUAAAAAUUAUCACAUAUUUACACAUCAUCCUUUAGCAUUAUCAUAAGGACAUACAUUCAAAAUGACUAAGUCCCUAUACAUGCCAUAGUUCAACAUUGAUCAUCAUAAAAUACCGAGUUGUUGUGGUUGAUAGUGUGGACGCUCUCCGACGUCUUUAAGAUCCCUGAAGUAGCUUUGCAAUACUAUAAAAGAAAGAAAAAUAAAAGAAGUAAUCAUAAAGCUUAGUAAGUUUACAAGCAAAUAAUUAACAACAUUGAACACAAAUAAAUAUACUCAAGUGUCAUAAUCUCUAAUUUCCUCUUUACUUAAUCUCUUACUCGUUCACUUACUUGUUUACUUAGAUAACUCAUGAUUAUAACUUACUCUUCUCUUGCUGAAAUGUUGGUUCUCAAUUGAUAACAUAAUAUGUUCUUAACUCUUAUAAUUCACUUGAAUUUGCUAUUUAUGCUUUUACCUGAACUUUCAUGGAACAUAAUUUGUUUACUAGCCCGUUGAGCCACAUUGGAAUAAUAAGGAUACUUGAGUCUCUUUUCUAAUAAUAAAAUGCGAAAGCCAUGUCCCAGACAUGGUCUUACAUAGGAUGUUUCUUGUACUGCCAAUGCCAUAUCCCAGAUAUGGUCUUACAUGGGAGUUCUCAUAUCGGUGCCUAUGCCAUGUCCCAGACAUGGUCUUACGGGGGACCUCUCAUCUUGGUGCCAACGCCAUGUCCUAGACAUGGUCUUACAUGGGACCUCUCAUCUCAGUGCCAACGCCAUGUCCUAGACAUGGUCUUACAUGAGACCUCUCAUAAUCUCGACGAUGCCAAUGCCAUGUCCCAGACAUGGUCUUACAUGGGACCUCUUUAUCCAAAUGUCAUGACAUUUGUAUCCAAUACACUCCUAAUGUUUCAACAGGGAUUUUAUCACUGAUUCUUUGUCAUCUCAUACUUAAGUCAACAUUAAAUAAUUUCACGAAAUAAAUACAUAAUUGCUGGAAAAUAAAAGCAUUAAUAAUAAUUAUUGAAAUAUUUUAUUUAUUUACUGUAAACUUACCUCGGUACAAAAUUUGACCAAAUCUAGCAACUUAGUCCUCUAUCUUUUUCUUUCCCCGGUCUAACUCCGAAUUUCAUUCUUCUUGAUCUAUAAUAGAAAAUUUAACUUAUUUAAUACUCAAAUUCAUCAAAACAAUCCUUGACUCAAACUUUGGAAAAAUUACGAUUUUACCCUUAAACUUUUGCAUAAUUACACUUUUCCCCAAAGCUCAGAAAUUAAAAUUCAUCCCAUAUUCUUAUGUUUUAUGACAUGUUGGACAUUUUUCCCUUCUCUGGCAACAUCAAAUUCCCACUCUAACAUGUUCUUAUGAACAUUAGGUAUUUUUACCGAUUAUGUCGUUUUACUCGUUUUCACUUAAAAUCGCUUUUCAAGCUUCAUAUUAUGCCAUAAAACAUCAAAAUAAACACAUUUCACCUAUGUUUAUUUUUCCAAAUAUAAACCCUAGGUUAAAUUAUUGCUAGAAUAAGCUAAAUCAAGUUACCGGGACUUCGAAAACAUAAAGAACAUUAAAAACGGGGCUUGGAAUCACUUACUAUGGAGCUUGGAAGCUUGAAAACCCUAACUAUGGCUUCCCCCUUGCUAUUUUCAUUCACCAUGGAGAAGAUGAGCACAUUUUGCCAUCUUUUUCCCUUUUUAAUUCUUUUUAUUACUAAAGUACCAAAAUGCCCCUUACUUAAAAUUUUCCUAUUUCACUUAUCUCAUGUCCAUUUUUGUCUACCAACUUAACCAAUGGUCUAAUUACCAUAUAAGGACCUCCAAUUUGAAAUACCAUAUAAGGACCUCCAAUUUAAAGUUUCAUAACAAUUGGACACCUCUAACAUGUAGAACUCAACUUUUGCACUUUUUACAAUUUAGUCAUUUUGACUAAAUUGAGUGCCCAAACGUCGAAAUUUUUGAACGAAAUUUUCACAAAAUCAUACCGUGAAAUUGUUGGCCAUAAAAAUAUAGUAAAAAUAAAAUUUUCCUCAUCAGAUUUGUGGUCCUGAAACUACUGUUCCGACUAGGCCCACAAUCGGGAUGUUACAGGUGAGCCUCGCCAAGUCAUCUACCUCGCCACUACCAUACACGACCUACUUACUUGCGAAGUAAGAGAGGAGUGGCUGAGUUCAUUGUGAACUUAGUGAAUAAUCAGGAAUCAACAGUGUAUGCUUGUAAAGUAAAGUUUAAAACAGAGAAAAGACUUAGUCUGAAGAAAAUUGUAUCAUGUGCUGGAUGCAACACACCGCUCGGUGAAGUCCAAGUGUUCGAAUACUAUUUAUCUGAGUAUUGUGUUUAUAGCAAGUUCAGAGUGUGUAAAGUAUUAACUGUGACUAAGAAUGUAAGUUUGUGAGUGUGCCUUUGGGUGAAGUCUGCGUUGGACGAGGUUGGUGGCUUGACGGACCCCCUUGUAGAGUAUACGCCACCCUAAUUGCUAGGCAAUUAUGUUAAGUCUUUAGUAGAAGAACAAUUUAUCAUUUUAUUUAUAUAUUAUUUUAUCGGUUGAACAAUUUAGGUAGACAAAUGAGAAUUGUUUAUGUAACACCCCAAAAUUUCUAAUUUUGUUAUUGUGAAAAUAUGAUACAAAUAUCUGUCAGCUUUAAUGGUAAUGUGUUCUGGGAGAGUGUUUGGGAGGUCCCAAGUUCAAGCCUUCGCUUGGGAAAAUUUUGGUAUUUUGAAUAAAUUAGACCUUACUCUUGUUUAGUAGGCUUUUAUUUGAUUGUUGGGUAAAUCACAUCAGAAUGGGCCUGGUGGUCUGGUGGUUAAAUGGUGUGUUAUUAUGGUGGGGGUUUUGUGUUCGAAUCCCUAUGCAGACAAGGGUAUUAUUUUUUUGCUCAGAUUUCGGGAUAGAGUUAUGUAAUAGGGCGAUUCUGAGUAGUGGAUGUGUAGUAGGAAUUAGGGGAGAAGAUUAAGAGAUUUUGGGGGUUAUCGGGAUUUUAUUUUAUUUUUUCCCAUAACUAAAUUUUGACUCUCUUUUUCCAAAAAAAAUUCUGCCGUCUAUUUUUCUCCCUCUCCUCUUGUCGAAAUUCUCUGAGUUUUUCCAUCUUUCUCUUCUUUUUCUUCUUCUUGAUUUUCCCUAAUCCAUUUAUUUUCCUUCCUUUUUGCACGUGGUUAAUGUUCACUUAGUUUCGGUAAGUGUUUCUCUUCAUUUCUAUCCUGAAUCUCUUAACGAAUAAAGUGGUAAUGUUUUUUCUCUGUGAUUUGGGCGCAAGGGGAGGCUCAGACUGGUGAAUUCAAUGUUAUCGUCUUAACAAUACUUAGACGAAGGGUUAUCGUUGGGGGUAAGUUGGGUUUCGGUUCGUUCUUGGUUGUCAAUUCGCUUAUAAACCAGUUAAAUUGAUGUUGAGUGUCUUGAUUAUAGGCUUUGGAGUACUUAGGGACAAUUUUAGCAUAAAAAAAACCAGGUUUGUACUCGAAACCCAAAAGAAAAGGGAUUCGGCAAAAAGCCAAAAUUGCUUGCUGUUUGGACAACAAUAGUAGGCUCACUUUGAAAAAUUUCCAUAAAUUGUAGAAAUUAAAUUAGAGGAUGAAAAAAAUAUGGAAUUAAAGCUUAUUGAGUCUAGUUUUUCAUACAAGAAACGGUGUAAGUAAUGGAAUUGCAAAUCGUGAGGUAUAAAAAACUUUGUGAGACAAGGUCAGAUUAAAUUCGAGUUCCCCUAUUCUGACUUUGAAAAAUCAUCAAAAAUUAGAAAAAAAAAUUAGGGGUUAAAAUAUACAGGUUUAAAUUAUUAAUGAGUUUAUUUUCAAUAGAAACAAAUAGAAACAUCAUCCAAAUUUUGUACUAAGAGAUAAUUAAUUUUUAGGAAAGAAGGGACGAAACUAUUAGAAAGCAGAACAGGGGUAAGUUUGAAGAUUUUACUGUACUUAUUGGCUAAACCAAAAAUUUUGAAAAUUUUAUGGUAGAAAUUUAGUUGAGUCUAGUUCCAAAGACAUCAAACGGAUCUUAAUUCGGAAUUUUGUAGCUUAAGAGAUAAAUAAUUUAGUAAAAGUGACUCAAGUAGACAACUUUGAAAGAACAUAUAAGUAAAUAAUAAAACAUAUAUGAAUAAUUAACUAGCACCGGUUACAUUAAGAAUGGAUCACAUGGCCAAGGGCAAUUUGGGUCAAGUGGGCCACAUGGGCGUGUGAGCCCAUUUUUUUGAAAAGUUCUGUAAGGGUGCACAGGUCGCCCAAGUCGACUGUGGGCCUGCUGUAGGGUCAGUAAGCUUUACUUAGACUCCUAUAUGUGUGAUCUAUCCGUCUGAUUUUUAUACCGAGUAUAACUUAUGAUAUCUGAAUGUAUGUACUAUUAAUUGCAUAAUGGCAUGGCAUAUUUUGUAUGUUGCAUUGCAUAAGGGUGGGUUGAUGAUAUUUGGAGGAAGUGCUCGAAAGGCUAUUAAGCCUGUUAUCUGGCAGCUCAGUUGCAACCUUCUGAAUAUGUGCCAUAUUUUGGUACAGCAUGGUGUGUAGGGAUGGGUGGGUUGAUUUAAUCCCCGCAUGUUGUGUAGGCUUGGAUGGAGAUGGUGUGUAAAGGCUGGUGGGUAGGAUUCUGAUUUACUGUAUCUGCAUUCUGUAUCUGAUAUGGGCCAAGGCCCUAAUAUAUUUCUGAGACUAUAUCUGAAUGGGCUAAGGCCCAAACUGAUUCGGUAAUGGGCACGGGCCCCAGACUGUAUCUAACUGAAUUCUAUUGAUUAUCUAUAUGCAUGUUUUCUAUGGGUAUUACACACUAAGUUUACAAAAGCUCACCCUUUCUCUGUUUAACCUGUAAAGGUAAUCCCAGACUUGAUGGGCCGGUGCAGCGUAGGUCUCAACGAUGGCCACAUGUAAAUUUUAGACUGUUUUUCGUUAAUGCCUAGAAUUUAUUACUUAUUUGGGGGUUUUGAUGUAUCUUUUGGACAAUGGACUGGUUGGCUUUAUAUUUGGGACUUUAUACUAUUUUAUGAAUUUUUAAAAAAAAAAUUGCAACUCCACAAAACACGGGUUUUUCCUAAAAACUAAGGUUUUUCGUAAAUAGAAAUGAUUUUCCCUAAAUUAAUUGGUUACAAAAGGUUCCAUUAAGAGACAAGUUUUAAAGCAGAUCAACUAGUUUUUUUUGAAUUAAAUAAAAGCUAACUUACUGUAAUAGUUUUUAAACUCGACAAUCUUGUUUUCAAAUCCCUUUCCAUGUGACAUUGCCAGAUUUGACCAUAAUGUCUAGGCUGAAUUCGGGGUGUUACAUUUAGUGGUAUCAGAGGCAGGUUACAAAAAUCGGCUAUGGAUUAUGGGUUUUAUAAAAUUUGGGCUUUCAAAAAAUUGAUUGAUUUCCAAAUGAUUUGAAAUGUUUUUACUGAGUAAGUGGUACACCGAGUCUCUGGCGUCGAUCGUGUAAGUAUUUUGAACAGUGAUUUGUUUUAAACUAAAAAUGUUAUGGAUAGUAUAUUCUGAAACUACUAUAGGUAGUAAACUGUACUGAAAACACUUUAAUUAGUGUUUACUAAAAUUUGUAGAUAAACUGGAAACUGUAGUGAGACUGCGAUUUACGAAAACGAACACUGAAUAACCAAUACUGUUUUACAUAAAACAUUUGUUAAUAAACACUGAAACUGUAACUGAUUCAUAAAAAUUAUAAUACCAGAUAAAUCUGAUUAGAUAUGAGUAAACGAGGUAUCUACGGACGGGGUACUAGAGGCCAAGGUAAAGGCCUUAGAGGGGCUUGAGCUGAGUCUUCGUCAUCGGGCAGCCUACCAAAUUUGGAUACGAGCGAGACGCUAGUGACGCCCGCUACAGAGACUGGGCCUCAAGAUCGCGUGGCUGUGGACGAUGCAUUGUCCCAGGCUAUGCUAAGGAUUUUAGAGAGGGUCGCUGGGCCCAAUACUGGAUUUGGGGGUCGAGGGUCAGUUAUGAAAUGACUCCGAUCCAAUUGAGCUAAGGUCUUCAGGGGUGUCACUGGAGUCACCCCUAACGUGGCCAAGUAUUGGAUUGAGGCCACGGAGAGGAUCAUGGAUGAUCUAGAUUGCCCCCUAAGCAGAAACUAAAGGGUGCAGUUUCGCUAUUGCGGGACGAGGCUUAUCAGUGGUAGCUGACUGUUAAGGAGGACAUUCAGCCCAAACGUCUGACCUGGGAGUUCUUUAAGACCGCCUUCUAGGGAAAAUAUGUCGGAGCUAGUUAUGUGGUUACAUGUAGGAGGGAGUUUCUGAAUCUUACACAAGAGGAUCGAUUAGUGGUCGAGUAUGAGACUGAGUUUCUAAGAUUGAGCCACUAUGCGCGAGGUAUGGUGGCAUCUGAGUAUAAGCGAUUUGUUCACUUUGAGGAUGGCUUCAAAGAUAAUUUCAGAGUUUUGAUAGCUCCGCAAAGGAAGUGAGAUCUUUCUGCCUUAGUCGAAAAGGCGAAAAUCACUGAGGAGGAUAUGGAAGUAGUCAUGAUUGGAGUAUGUCAGAACUACUGAUCUAAUAUAAUCUCUACACCAGUGGUAGAGAAGUUGGUUCGUAAGGGAUGUGAGGCGUUCUUGGCCUUUGUAAGUGUUUCAGAUUUUGGGGAUUCUACAAUUAAGGAUAUUAGAAGGUAAAGGAUGCUCCGAACGUUUUUCCUGAGGAGCUACCGGGUUUACCUCUGAAUCGUGAAGUGGAGUUUGGGAUAAAGCUCCUUCCUAGUACAGCUCUGAUGUUUAUUGCCUCCUACCGAAUGAAACCUAAGGAACUUAUAGAGCUUAAGGCUAAGAUUUUGGAGUUAUUGGAUCAUGAGAUCGUCCGCCGUAGUAUGUCUCAAUGGGGAGCAUCGACACUGUUUGUAAAGAAGAAUGAUGGAUCCAUGCAGAUGUGCAUCGACUACCGGCAAUUGAUCAAGAUGACCAUUAAGAACAAGUACCCCCUACCAGGGAUAGAUGAUCUGUUUGACUAGUUUCGAGGAGCUUCGAUUUUCUCCAAGAUUGACCUCCGAUCUGGAUAUCAUCAAUUGAGGGUUAAAGAGGCUGAUGUUCAUAAUACAACGUUUAGGACUCGUUAUGGUCACUACAAGUUCCUAGUGAUGCCAUUCGGAUUGACUAAUGCACCGACAACUUUCAUGGAUUUAAUGAAUCGAGUGUUCCAGCCUUAUCUGGAUCAGUUUGUGGUGGUAUUCAUCGAUGAUAUACUGGUUUACUCGAAGACUGAGGAUGAGCAUGAUGAGUACCUUUGAGUCGUUCUUCAGACUUUAAGGGAAAAACAGCUCUAUGCUAAGUUUAUUAGGUGCGAGUUUUGGCUACGUAAGGAGACAUUUCUUGGUCAUGUAGUUUUCGUUUUGGGGAUUCAAGUUGAUCCUCGAAAGAUUGAGGCUGUUUUGGAGUGGAAGCAGCCUAGGAACGUGUUUGAGAUUUGUAGUUUUCUGGGUAUGGCGGGAUAUUAUCGACGAUUUGUAGAGGGUUUUUCAUUGAUUGCAGCACCUUUGAAUAAACUACUAUGUAAGGGUGUGCCAUUUAAACUGGACUGAUGUGGAGCAAGAGAGCUUUGAAAAGCUUAAGACUGUACUGAGUAAGGCCCUUGUUCUGAUACAGCCGGAGCCUAGAAAGGAGUUUAGUGUUUAUAGUGAUGCAUCACAUGUCGGUUUGGGAUGUGUGUUGAUGCAGGAUGGUAAGGAGGUAGCCUAUGUGUCUCGUCAACUUAAGACCCAUGAGGCGAAUUAUCCGACGCAUGAUUUGGAGUUGGUCACUCUGGUAUUCACACUGAAAAUCUGGUGGCAUUAUUUGUAUGGUGAGAAGUGUAUCAUCUACACUUAUCAUAAGAGCCUCAAGUAUCUUCUCACUCAGACGGAACUUAAUCUUAGAUAGUGCAGAUGGAUUGAGCUACUUAAAGACUGCACCAUUGAGUACCACCCUGGUAAGGCCAAUGUGGUGGCUGACCCACUGAGCUGUACAGAUAUGACUGAUCUGAGGGCGAUAUUUGCUUACCUAAGUUUAUUUGGUGAUGGUAGUUUAUUAGUCGAGUUUCAGGUUAAGUCGUCAUGGAUUUAGUAGAUUAAGGGUAAGCAAUUAAAUGAUGAGUCGUUGGGUCUUCGAUUUAGGCAGAUUGAGGGUGGUAGUACUAUAGAUUUUAGACUGAACAGUGAUGGAGUACUCUCUAUCGGUGGGAGAAUCUAUGUUCCGAAUGAAACUGAUUUGAGACGGGCCAUACUAAGAGAGCCACUUAGUAGCCUUUAUGCUAUGCAACCUUGCGGAAAUAAGAUGUAUCGAGACCUCUGUGAGUUAUAUUGGUGGCCAUGGUUGAAGUGUGAGGUUGCCGACUUCGUUUCUCACUGUUUGACUUGUCAGCAGGUUAACGCUGAGCAUCAGUUACCAUCGGGUUUGCUGUAGCCGGUUAAGAUACCGUUAUGGAAAUAAGAGCGAGUAACGAUGGACUUCGAUAGUGGGUUGCCUCUAACACCCACUUAGAAGGAUUUUGUCUGAGACAUCGUGGAUCAAUUGACCAAGUUUGCUUACUUCUUCCCGAUAGGGACAGACUUUUCUCUUCAGAAAUUAGCUAAGUUUCAUAUAUCGAAAAUAGUGAGACUGCAAGUGGUACCUGUCUUGAUAAUUUCUAUUCGGGAUCCUCGUUUCACGUCUCGAUUUCGGAAGAAGCUUCAUAAGGCUCUGGGUUCAAGAUUAGAAUUCAGUACUGCUUUCCAUCCUCAGACAGAUGGUCAGUCAGAGAGGGUGAUUUAGAUAUUGGAGGACAUGUUGAUGAGCUAUGUUAUUGAUUUCUGAGGUAGUUGGGAGGAAUACUUACCGUUAGCGGAGUUUGCCUACAAUAAUAGCUUCUAGUCUAGCAUAUAGAUGGCACCUUACAAGGCACUGUAUGGUCAUAAGUGUUGCACUCAUUUAUGUCGGACUGAGUUGGGCGAGCGACGUGUUUUGGGUCCUGAGUUGGUCUCUGAGAUAGAGGAUAAGGUUAGAUUGAUUCGGGAUCAUUUGAAAGUGGCUUCUGAUUGGCAGAAAUCGUAUGCGAAUUUGAAGAGGCGUGAGAUCGAGUAUUCUGUAGGGGACAUAGUUUUUCUCAAGGUCUCACCAUGGGAAAAUGUUUUGAGGUUCGGUCGCAAGGGCAGGCUGAGCCCUCGAUUUAUUGGACUUUACUGCAUUCUGAAACGUGUGGGACUUGUGGCUUAUCAGUUGGAGUUACCUCCGGAGUUGGACCGCAUUCAUGAUGUUUUUCACGUCUCGAUGUUGAGGCGCUACUGCUCUGAUCUUACGCAUGUUGUUUCUGUUGAGAAGAUUGAGGUUAGGCCAGACUUGACUUUCGAGGACCCGGUUCAGAUUCUGGAGCAUAAUGUAAAGGUCUUUCGAAAAAAGUCUUUUCCCUUAGUGAAGGUUCUGUGGCGUAAUCAUAGUACUGAGGAUGCCACAUGGGAACCUGAGGAUGCGAUGCAUCAGCAAUAUCCUCAUCUAUUCUGAUCAGGUAAAAUUUCGGGGACAAAAUUUUCUUUUUGGGCGUAGAGUUGUAAUGCCCCAAAAUUUCUAAUUUCGUUAUUGUGAAAAUAUGACACAAAUAUCUAUCAUCUUUAGUGGUUAUGUGUUCUGAGAGAGUGUUUGGAAGGUCCCAAGUUCAAGCCUUCGCUUGGGCAGAUUUUGGUAUUUUGAAUGAAUUAGGCCUUACUCUAGUUUAGUAGGUUUUUAUUUGAUUGUUGGGUAAAUUAUAUCAGAAUGAGCUUGCUGGUCUGGUGGUUAAAUGGUGUGUUAUUAUGGUGGAGGUCUUGUGUUCGAAUCCCUAUGCAGGCGAGGGUAUUACAUUUUUGCUCAGAUUUCGGGAUACAGUUGUGUAAUAGGGGGAUUCUGAGUAGUGGAUGUGUAGUGGGAAUUAGGGGAGAAGAUUAAGGGAUUUUGGGGGUUAUCGGGAUUUUAUUUUAUUUUUUCCCAUAACUGAAUUUUGACUCUCUUUUUUAAAAAAAAUUCUGCCGUCUAUUCUUCUCCCUCUUCCCUUACCGAAUUCUUUUGAGUUUUCCAUCUUUCUCUUCUUUUUCUUCUUUAUGAUUUUUCCCUAAUUCAUUUAUUUUCCUUAAUUUCGUACGCGGUUAGUGCUCGCUUAGUUUCGGUAAGUGUUUCUCUUCGUUUCUGUCAUGAAUCUCUUAACAAUGGAAGUGGUAAUGUUUUUUCUCUACGAUUUGGACGUAGUAGGAGGCUCAGACUGGUGAAUUCAAUGUUCUUGUCUUAAAAAUAGUUAAACGGUGGGUUAUCGUUGGUGGUAAGUUGGGUUUUGGUUCGUUCUCGAUUGUCAAUUCACUUGUAAACCUGUUAAAUUGAUGUUGAGUGUCUUGAUUAUAGGCUUUGGAGUGCUCGAGGACUGUUUUAGCUUCAAACAAAAAUAGGUGUGUACUCGAAACGCAAAAAAAAGAGAUUCCGCGAAAAGCCGAAAUUGUUUACUGUUUGGACAACAACAAUAGGCUAACUUUGAAAAGUCGUCAUAAAUUGUGGAAAUCGAAUUAGAGGAUGAAAAAAAUAUGGAAUUAAAGCUUAUUGACUCUAGUUUCUCAUAAAAGAAACGUGCAAGUAAUGGAAUUGUAAAUCGUGAGGUAUAAUAAUCUUUGUGGGAUAAGGUAAGAUUGAGUUUGAGUUCCCCUGUUUUGACUUUUGAAAAUCAUCAAAAAUUGGAGAAAAAUAAUUAGGGGUUAAAAUUUACAUGUUUAAAUUAUUAAUAAGUCUAUUUUCAAUAGAAAUAAAUGGAAACAUCAUCAACAUGUUAUAGUAAGAGAUAAUUAAUUUUUAGCAAUGAAGGGAUGAAGUUGUCAGAUAGUAGAAGAGGGGUAAGUUUGAAGAUUUUACUGUACUUAUUGGCUAAGCCAAAAAAUCUAAAAAUUCUAUGGUAGAAAGAUAUUUGAGUCUAGUUAGCGGAUCUUAAUUCAAAAUUCUGUAGAUAAAGAUAUAAAUAAUUUACUAAUAAUGACUCAAGUAGACAACUUUGAAGGAAUAUAUAAGUAAAUAGUGAAACAUAUAUGAAUAAUUAACUAGCAUGGGUUAAAUUAAGAAUGGAUCACGUGGCGAAAACCAAUUUGGGUCGAGUGGGCCACAUGGGCAUGUGAGCCUAUUUUUUUAAAAAGGUCUGUAAGGUUUCACAGGGAUGGUGUGUAGAGGCUGGUCUUCAGGGGUGUCAUUGGAGUCUCCCCUAACGUGGCCAAGUAUUGGAUUGUGGCCAUAGAGAGGAUCAUGGAUGAUCUAGAUUGCACCCUUAAGCAGAAACUAAAGGGUGUAGUUUCGCUACUGCGGGAUGAGGCUUAUCAGUGGUAGCUGACUGUUAAAGGGGGCAUUCAGCCCGAACGUCUGACCUGGGAGUUCUGUAAGACCGCCUUCUAGGGAAAAUAUGUCGGAGUUAGUUAUGUGGUUACAUGUAGGAGGGAGUUUCUGAAUCUUACACAAGAGGAUCGAUUAGUGGCCGAGUAUGAGGCUGAGUAUCUAAGACUGAGCCACUAUGCGCGAGGUAUGGUGGCAUCGGAGUAUAAGCGAUUUGUUCUCUUUGAGGAUGGCAUCAAAGAUAAUUUGAGAGUUCUGAUAGCCCCGCAGAGGAAGUGAGAUCUUUUUGCCCUGGUUGAAAAGGCGAAAAUCACUGAUGAGGAUAUGGAGGUAGUCAUGAUUGGAGAACGUCAGAACUACUGAUCUAAUAUGAUCUCUACACUAGUGGCAGAGAAGUUGGUUUGUAAGGGAUGUGAGGCGUUCUUGGCCUUUGAAAGUGUUUUAGAUUUUGGGGAUUCUACAGUUAAGGAUAUUAGAAGGUAAAGGAUGUUCCGGACGUUUUUCCUGAGGAGCUACCGGGUUUACCUUUGAAUUGUGAAGUGGAGUUUGGGAUAGAGCUCCUUCCUAGUACAGCUCCGAUGUCUAUCGCCUCCUACCGAAUGGCGCCGAAGGAACUUACGGAGUUUAAGGCUCAGAUCUUGGACUUAUUGGGUCGUGGGAUCAUCUGCCCUAGUAUGUCUCCAUGGGGAGCAUCAGAACUAUUUGUAAAGAAGAAUGAUGGAUCCAUGCAGAUGUGCAUCGACUACCGGCAAUUGAACAAGAUGGCCAUUAAGAACAAGUACCCCCUACCGGGGAUAGAUGAUCUGUUUGACUAGUUUCGAGGAGCUUCGAUUUUCUCCAAGAUUGACCUCCGAUCUGGAUAUCAUCAAUUGAGGGUUAAAGAGGCUGAUGUUCAUAAUACGACGUUUAGGACUCGUUAUGGUCACUACAAGGUCCUAGUGAUGCCAGUCGGAUUGACUAAUGCACCGACAACUUUCAUGGAUUUAAUGAAUCGAGUGUUCCAGCCUUAUCUAGAUCGGUUUGUGGUGGUAUUCAUCGAUGAUAUACUGGUUUACUCGAAGACUGAGGAUGAGCAUGAUGAGCACCUUCGAGUCGUUCUUCAGACUUUAAGGGAAAAACAACUCUAUGCUAAGUUUAGUAGGUGCAAAUUUUGGCUAUGUCAGUAGACAUUUCGUGGUCGUGUAGUUUUCUCUUUGGGGAUUCAAGUUGAUCCUCGAAAGAUUGAGGCUGUGUUGGAGUGGAAGCAGCCUAGGAACGUGUCUGAGAUUUGUAGUUUUCUGGGUAUGGCGGGAUAUUAUCGACGAUUUGUAGAGGGUUUUUCAUUGAUUGCAGCACCCUUGACUAGGCUACUAUGUAAGGGUGUGCCAUUUAAACUAGACUGAGGCGGAGCAAGAGAGCUUUGAAAAGCUCAAGACUGUACUGACUAAGGCCCUUGUUCUGAUACAGCCGGAGCCUAGAAAGGAGUUCACUGUUUAUAGUGAUGCAUCACAUGUCGGUUUGGGAUGAGUGUUGAUGCAGGAUGGUAAGGAGGUAGCCUAUGCGUCUCGUCAACUUAAGACCCAUAAGGCGAAUUAUCCGAUGCAUGACCUGGAGUUGGCCACUGUGGUAUUCACACUAAAAAUCUGGAGGCAUUAUUUGUAUGGUGAGAAGGGUAUCAUCUACAUUUAUCAUAAGAGCCUCAAGUAUCUCCUCACUCAGACGGAACUUAAUCUUAGAUAGUGCAGAUGGAUUGAGCUACUUAAAGACUGCACCAUUGAGUACCACCCUGGUAAGGCCAAUGUGGUGGCUGACGCACUGAGCUAUAGGGAUAUGACUGAUUUGAGGGCAAUAUUUGCUCGCCUAAGUUUAUUUUGUGAUGGUAGUUUAUUAGUCGAGUUUCAGGUUAAGUUGUCAUGGAUUGAGCAGAUUAAGGGUAAGCAAUUAGAGGAUGAGUCGUUGGGUCUUCGAUUUAGGCAGAUUGAGGGUGGUAGUACGACAAAUUUUAGACUGAACAGUGAUGGAGUACUCUGUAUCUGUAGGACAAUCUGUGUUCUGAAUGAUACUGAUUUGACAUGGGCCAUACUAAGAGAGCCGCAUAGUAGCCUUUAUGCUAUGCAACCUAGCGAAAAUAAGAUGUAUCGAGACCUCUGUGAGUUAUAUUGGUGGCCAUGGUUGAAGCGUGAGGUUACCGACUUCGUUUCUCACUGUUUGACUUGUCAGCAGGUUAACGCUGAGCAUCAGUUAAGAUACCGUUAUGGAAAUGAGAGCGAGUAACAAUGGACUUCGUUAGUGGGUUGCCUCUAACACCCACUAAGAAGGAUUCUGUCUGGGAUAUCGUGGAUCAAUUGACCAAGUCUACUCACUUUUUCCCGAUAAGGAUAGACUUUUCUUUUCAGAAAUUAGCUAAGUUCCACAUAUCGAAAAUAGUGAGACUGUAUGGGGUACCUGUCUCGAUAAUUUCUGUUCGGGAUCCUCGUUUCACGUCUCUAUUUUGGAAGAAGCUUCAUGAGGCUCUAGGUUCAAGAUUAGAAUUCAGUACUGCUUUCCAUCCUCAGACAGAUGGUCAGUCAGAGAGGGUGAUUUAGAUACUGGAGGACAUGUUGAUGAGCUAUGUUAUUGAUUUCUGAGGCAGUUGGGAGGAAUACUUACCGUUAGCGGAGUUUGCCUACAACAAUAGCUUCUAGUCUAGCAUCUAGAUGGAACCUUACGAGGCACUGUACGGUCAUAAGUGUUGCACUCCUUUAUGUUGGAUUGAGUUGGGCGAGCGACGUGUUCAGGGUCCUGAGUUGGUCUCUGAGAUAGAGGAUAAGGUUAGAUUGAUUCGGGAUCAUUAGAAAGUGGCUUCUGAUUGGCAGAAAUCGUAUGCGAAUUUGAAGAAGCGUGAGAUCGAGUAUUCUGUAGGGGACUUAGUUUUUCUCAAGGUCUCACCAUGGAAAAAGGUUUGGAGGUUCGGUCGCAAGGGCAAGCUGAGCCCUCGGUUUAUUGGACUUUACCUCAUUCUGAAAUGUGUGGGACCUGUCGCUUAUCAGUUGGAGUUACCUCCGGAGUUGGACUGCAUUAAUGAUGUUUUUCACGUCUCGAUGUUGAGGCGCUACUGCUCUGAGCCCAUGCAUGUUGUUUCUGUUGAGAAGAUUGAGGUUAGGCCAGACUUGACUUUCGAGGAGCCGAUUUAGAUUCUGGAGCGUAAUGUAAAGGUCUUUCGGAAAAAGUCUUUUCCCUUAGUGAAGGUUCUGUGGCGUAAUCAUAGUACUGAGGAUGCCAUGUGGGAGCCUGAGGAUGCGAUGCAUCAGCAAUAUUCUCAUCUGUUCUGAUCAGGUAAAAUUUCGAGGACAAAAUUUUCUUUUAGGGGGUAGAGUUGUAAUGCCCCAAAAUUUCUAAUUUCAUUAUUGUGAAAAUAUGACACAAAUAUCUGUCAGCUUUAGUGGUUAUGUGUUCUGGGAAAGUGUUUGGGAGGUCCCAAGUUCAAGCCUUCGCUUAGGCAAAUUUUGGUAUUUUGAAUGAAUUAGGCCUUACUCUAGUUUAGUAGGUUUUUAUUUGAUUGUUGGGUAAAUUACAUCAAAAUGAGCGCGCUGGUCUGGUGGUGAAAUGGUGUGUUAUUAUGGUGGAGGUCUUGUGUUCGAAUCCCUAUGCAGGUGAGGGUAUUACUUUUUUGCUCAGAUUUCGGGAUAGAGUUGUGUAAUAGGGGGAUUCUGAGUAGUGGAUGUGUAGUGGGAAUUAGGGAAGAAGAUUAAGGGAUUUUGGGGGUUAUCGGGAUUUUAUUUAUUUUUCCUAUAACCGAAUUUUGACUCUCUUUUUCAGAAAAAAAUUCUGCCGUCUAUUCUUCUCCCUUUCGUCUUGCUGAAAUUUUUUGAGUUUUCCAUCUUUCUCUUCUUUUUCUUCUUCAUGAUUUUUCCCUAAUUCAUUUAUUUUCCUUAGUUUUCGUACACGGUUAGUGCUCGCUUAGUUUCGAUAAGUGUUUCUCUUCGUUUCUAUCAUAAAUCUCUUAACAACGGAAGUGGUAAUGUUUUUUCUCUACGAUUUGGACAUAGUGGGAGGCUCAUACUGGUGAAUUCAGUGUUCUUGUCUUAACAAUAGUUAAACGGAGGGUUAUCGUUGGUGGUAAGUUGGGUUUCAGUUCAUUCUCGGUUGUCAAUUCGCUUGUAAACCUGUUAAGUUGAUGUUGAGUGUCUUGAUUAUAGGCUUUGGAGUUCUCGGGGACUAUUUUAGCUUCAAAUAAAAACAGGUGUGUACUUGAAACGCAAAAAAAAAAA
Molecule: long non-coding RNA, 36335 nt
Filed under: Gossypium raimondii (Peruvian cotton)
Lineage: Eukaryota; Viridiplantae; Streptophyta; Magnoliopsida; Malvales; Malvaceae
Description: long non-coding RNA (GRAI_LNC001522)
Source: RNAcentral